GACGAACGCUGGCGGCGUGCUUAACACAUGCAAGUCGAACGGAAAGGCCCUUCGGGGUACUCGUGUGGCGAACGGGUGCGUAACACGUGGGUGAUCUGCCCUGCACUUUGGGAUAAGCCUGGGAUACUGGGUCUAAUACUGAAUCGGACUACGCGCUUCUUGGUGUGUGGUGGAAAGCUUUUGCGGUGUGGGAUGGGCCCGCGGCCUAUCAGCUUGUUGGUGGGGUAAUGGCCUACCAAGGCGAAGACGGGUAGCCGGCCUGAGAGGGUGACCGGCCACACUGGGACUGAGAUACGGCCCAGACUCCUACGGGAGGCAGCAGUGGGGAAUAUUGCACAAUGGGCGCAAGCCUGAUGCAGCGACGCCGCGUGAGGGAUGACGGCCUUCGGGUUGUAAACCGCUUUCGAUAGGGACGAAGCGCAAGUGACGGUACCUAUAGAAGAAGCACCGGCCAACUACGUG
RNAcentral lists this ribosomal RNA (462 nucleotides) under uncultured bacterium. RNAcentral's name for it is "partial 16S ribosomal RNA". It matches the Rfam family "Bacterial small subunit ribosomal RNA", at positions 28 to 507 of the family's 1533-position model. The record is from RNAcentral.